CUGAGUCACCUCUUCCGAUCAUGUUUUUACGUCGGGUUUCCACCGUCUCAUCUCUCGAUUCUUCUGAUUCUACCUUACCCUCUCAGAUGCUACUUCUCGAACCUUUCUUUUCCACCGCUUCCUCUUAUAGCUCCUCCUAAAUCGAUUCAAAACUAGCACUCACAUUCUCCCCCCCUUUAUCCACCCACAUACGCCACUGUUUCACCUUCAUCACAAUCGUCAUCACCGACCACUACCAUGACCAUCGCCACCAUCAGUCCCUUCACCACUUCUCAUGGUACCCGUUCUCGCCUCUAAUUUCCCUUCGCCGAGUGUAUUCUUCAGGUAGCUUCUUCUGUAUCUUUCUUCUUUGUUUUGUGUUUUGUAAUUUUAUGUUACUUACGUUUCUAUUCAGAGGGUGUUUGGUAAAGCUUAUUAUUGGCUUAUUUUUCGAGCUUAUUUUUAUAAGCUUAUUUUUUUCUGACUUAUUUUCCAACGACUUGACUUGAAAAAUAAGUCAGAAAAAAUUAACUUAUUCACCUUCAUCAAUUUCAUCUUCGCUGCCAUCACCUUCGUUUUUUUCCACCAAAACUUGAGGAUUAUCCAACACGACUGGAUUCAAUUCCUUUAGGUUUGCAGCUUUGUACUCUUUCAUUCUAUCACGCCCCAUUGGUAUACAUUUUAACCCGUCUUUCCUCUUCAGUAAUCUACUCCCGGAUUCCCUUUCCUGGGCCAUCCUUUUCCUCUCUUUCUUCGUGAUAUUAAUCUUUGUCUGAACGGCUUUCUGGAACAAAAUCCUUUUGGGGGGUUUGGGCGAUUUCAUGUUUUUCUUUUCAGGUAUCAUCAACACUGCACAUCAGGUGACGAUUUCAAUGUUUUCUCAUGUUUCUUAAUUCGUUUUUUUAGAGUUCUAAUUGAUUUGUAAUUAUUGAUUCUAACGUUAUGUUGGUUUUUGGGUACGUUAUGGAAGAUGGGUAUGAGUUUUUGCAGAUAGGGAGCUUGUGACUAUUUUUUCUGCCGCAAAUUAUUGUGGUGAAUUUGAUAAUGUGGGUCUGAUGAUGAGUAUUGAUGAAAGUUUGAUGGGUCCUUUUUUUUAACCGGCAAAUAGAUAGAGGGUAACCCGAUCUGAUGGAUCAGAAAUGCCUGGCGGGCCAAGAGGGGCACCACUCACCACCAAAGGGAACGAAGAAUCGAACCCACGCCAAUCCAGAGAAAUUCCCCCAAAUGUGUUCAGCCAAGAAUCGAACUCUUGACCUCACCCACUGAGGCCUAUAACCCAAGAUGCAUCACAACCAGCUAGGCUGGUGAUGACUUGCGAUGUAUCCUUUUCAAAUCUUGAAGCCGGCUGAUAGGAAACCAAGAUUCUUAUGUCAUAAUGGUGUCCUAAAAGCUUUUAAGGUAUCCCAGCAACAAAUUAAAUUGGAAUCAAUUCUAUCUGUGGCUCGAAUGCUAUUGAUAACAUGUUAAACACAAAAGAGGUUCUUCAUAGAGAGGAGCUUUUAGGCGGGUGUUGAAGGCAAAACACAGGUGGACAAAGUAAUUGACAUGCUUUUUGGUGGGUGUUUCUUCUUAUUUUAUUGUAUAUUAUCAUGAAGGCUGUUAAAUAUUUUUAUGUUUUAAAGUGAAGAAAUAAAGAAAAUGGAUUAAUCUCUCA
Lactuca sativa (garden lettuce) is the source of this 1633-nucleotide long non-coding RNA. RefSeq lists it as uncharacterized. The record is from RefSeq and is a predicted model, not a curated record. Lineage: Eukaryota; Viridiplantae; Streptophyta; Magnoliopsida; Asterales; Asteraceae.